GACUUAGCACGCAUGCCCUGUAUAAAUUUAAAAUGUAUGAUAAAAUGACUUAUGAACAUAUACAUUGUGAGAUGAUUACCAUGCUAAGUUUAUUAACAUCCAUCAUUUCCUAUAGAUACAAAUAAAAGAAAAAAAUGUUUUUUCCUUGAGAGAACUCUUAGGAUCUACUCUCUUCACAACUUUCAAAUUUGGCGACUCUGAAUCCCACAGGCGCUGCCCCAGUUUCUGCAUCUGUUUAGUGAGGGCAUGAGCAAAAUGAGGCAAAGCACAAGAGCCUACUUUCUCCAGGUGCCAAGAUGACCUGAUGCCUCCUCGCUGCACUCCCUCAGCUCCAGCCCUGCCCUGGCUGCCCAGAAAUUGACCUUUGCCCUGAAGAGGCGGUGACAGAAGAGGAACUUUCACUAGAGAACCAAGAGGAGGAAACUGAGGCCCAGAGGAUUGAGUGAUCUCACCUAGGCGGUCACUGGACAGGCUGGAAUUCAAACCAGGGGCCACAACUCUGUGCCUGAGAUGUAGGAGUGGGGUGAGCCACACCCACCUCUCAGUGAUCCUGGAGUGGGAUGUCUCUAUAACUAAUGAGUCUCUAUAUCAACCCCCUUUGUGGGCUGAUGAUAUUUUCCAAAGAUGCUCACCAUAAUAUCUCCCCUCCUAUAUGCUCUUCCUAAAGAUAAAGAUGAUUCCUAAAAAUUCCUCUCACCUCAAGGCGGGGCCUAUGGAACGAGCCGAGUUCUAGAAAAGAUAAUAAGGCUUCCACCUGGUUCCCUUGGAUACUCGCACUGGAACCCAGCCGCCAUGCUACAAGGAAGCCCAGGCCACAUGGAAGGGUCACAGGCAGGUGUUCCAGCUGCAGUCCCAGCUGGCAGCCAGCAUCGAUUGCCAGAUAAAUGUGUAAGAAAACUUCUAGAUAACUCCAGGCCCGGCCAUGGCCUGACUGCAAAUCUGUGAGAAAUCCUGAGCAAGAACUGCCCUAGUUGAGCCAGCAGGCCCCCAGAGCCAUGAGAGAUGAUGAUGCUUGGGGUGAUUUAAGAGGUAGUGUAGGUUACUGGACAC
This is a long non-coding RNA of Bubalus bubalis (water buffalo), 1050 nucleotides long. RefSeq lists it as uncharacterized. The record is from RefSeq and is a predicted model, not a curated record. The transcript is spliced from 3 exons. NCBI's taxonomy places the organism in Eukaryota, Metazoa, Chordata, Mammalia, Artiodactyla, Bovidae.